GGGUGGGGGGGCUCCGAGGGCCUCCUGUGUGACCCACGUCAUCAGAUACCUUUUUGCAUGCACCGUCUCUAACCCGAGCUUGCUGUCCCGGGUUGUCGGUCACUCUCACCACAUCUCCCUGGCCCGUGCACCUGUGCUUACAUCCAAGGGCAGGCCCAGCCGCUUCGAUGUCCCCUGGGUGUGCCUAGAUGCCAGGGGAGGUUGUGAAGCAGAGUGUGGGGUCCUGGGCAGGUGUCCUGGAACAAGCUGAUGGUGGGAAUUGCACAAGAUUUCGUUCGAGUGGCUCGCCUGAGGUCUGAAUGAGGGGAGGCCCCUGCAGCCAGGGCCACCUCAGGGGCAGAGAUGAGGUGAACAGAGUGCCAAGCGCCAGGGGAGGGCGAGGAGGGACCCUAGAGGAAAAGAGAUGUGCAGCCCAGAGCUGGGGCGUGUGGGAGGCACCCCGCCCCAGCAGCCGCGUGGGCGUGCAGAGAGUACCGCUGGGCUCCUGGAGGCCCCAGGCUGAGGCCAGGCCAGGGUGUCACCCUCGUUCCUCCACGGCACACUUCCUCCUCUGACUCACCAUGGCUCCUGGCAUUGGCCUGCAAGGUGGCAAAGGAGGGACUGGGUGCCCACUGGCUGGACAGGGACACUGAGGCCUGGAGCAGGACAGAUCACUCAGUCCGGCAUCAGCAUCAGGAGCCAGGGAAAAGGAAUUCUUGGCGAAAGAGAUGCCGCCUCCGAGGGCUGCCGGGAGCACUCCUGGGCCCACUUCCCAACAAAGCUGGCUGGUGAGACCAAGCCCAUCGACGGAAGAGCUCCCUGUGCAGAGCCCAAGCCCCCGGAAGCACCCGCCACAGUGGAUCCAGCAGGAAGGAGCUGUUGGAGGCCCUCAGUCUAGUGGACCCUAGCGGGGCUGCUGGGAGCUGAGACCAGAAUGUCAACAUCAGCGAGAGCAGAGGGGGAGGAAGGCUCUCCAGGCAGACUGGCAGCUGUGUCGGCCAGGAGAUCAUUCACCAAAGUCAAGACCACGGCCCCUGACACACUGUAUUCGGUAUUGCCCCAGCUCAUCAGUAUUGCAAUAAUGCUCAGGAUCCUAGCACUCACUGGAAAAUAAGGAACUUCAUCAGGAGAUUUCCUCACGGCAAAGACUGGCGUCAUCUUAGAGUCUAGGCCAGUCUUAGGGCCAGCACUGUGCAGCAGUCUAAGCCUCCGCCUGUGGUGCUGGCUUCCCAUAUGGGCGCCGGUUCAUAAAUUUAAAAAAAAAUUAAAACUGUAUUUUUAAAGACUGAUUUACUUGAAAGGCAGAGCAAGAGAUACAUUCCAUCUGCUGGUUCACUCAAAUGGCCACAAUGGCUCAGGUUGAAGCCAAGAGCCCAGAACUCCAUCCUGGCCUUCUAGGUGAUAUGGGCCCACACACUUGGGCCAUCAUCCACUGCCUUCCCAGGCAAAUUAGCAGGAAGCUGGAUUGGAAGAGGAACAGCCGGGCCUUGAACCAGCACUCUGAUAUGGGAUGCCAGUGUUGCAAGCGGUGGCUUAAUCCACUGUGCCACAAAACCAGCCCUGACUGCGUUCACUAAGACAAGACACACCCCUUUGAGCCCCAAAGAGACAAAAGUUCACUGUAUUUGCUUGGCAAGCUCUCGUGUGCAUGCUAAAAAUACCGCCCCAGUGUUGUCUCUGGGGGUGAGUGACGUGUGCCUGGUGAGGUGCCAUCAGGCGUGGAAGAGGAGCCUGGCAAAUUAAUUGACUGUCCCUCGGCAGCAGCUCACAGAUGGGAAGGGAACUGGUCCUCCCUCAAGAGAAACCUGGAUGCAGGUCACAUCAGCAGGUGCCAACAAAGCCUGCAGGAAAGCUGGUGUCCAGGGGCAGGAGGCCCAGACGCUGUUGGUGCUCAUCGUGUAGGCUCCUAGCUCUGCCUGCCCCCGCCACUGACACUCAGCUAGACAGGAGGCCUCUCCACGGGCUGGGUCGGCAAAGAACCCUAUGUGGGUUCUGCCGCUUCAAAAAGACUAUUCAAAGUGCGGGUGAUUAAAGAAAAAU
Molecule: long non-coding RNA, 2019 nt
Organism: Lepus europaeus (European hare)
Lineage: Eukaryota; Metazoa; Chordata; Mammalia; Lagomorpha; Leporidae
Exons: 3
Source: RefSeq, a predicted model, not a curated record